This is a long non-coding RNA of Sapajus apella (tufted capuchin), 3196 nucleotides long. RefSeq lists it as uncharacterized. The record is from RefSeq and is a predicted model, not a curated record. The transcript has 2 exons. NCBI's taxonomy places the organism in Eukaryota, Metazoa, Chordata, Mammalia, Primates, Cebidae.
GGGAGACCGAAGGUGGGAAAUGGGACCCUCAGGACCCCGCCCCGCGCCCUCGGGGCUCUUUAAAAACAGAUGGUUUGAUUUCACAGCGAGGCUUUUCUUCUUUUUCUUUUUGCAGGCAACACGACUGAAAUGUGAACGUUUCUGUUAAAAUACGCUCAGGAAAAAGUACAAUGUAUGUCAAAUAGAUCUUAGGCACGUACCAGGAGGCAUUUUUCCUUCUCCCUUUCCCCUUCCCAUUUGCGUUCCUCCGGCAAGAGCGACGCCUGGCGAUGGGGCGAUGGGGCCGGCCCUCCCCUGCCCGGCUCCGGUCCUGCGCUAGGCCCACCUCGCAGCCGGUGUAAACAACAGCUUCCAGAAAACAAGCAUGUGAAGAUUCUACUGUUGUAAAAUAGCUUGGUGUAAGACAGUUUUUCAAAAACAUUUUGUAUGGCAAAAGAAGAAAACAUGACAUUUUCACAUAUUAUUUUUAAUUUAUGUAGACUUUUUUAGAAUAGUGUUUUAUAAAAUGAAAAGCUAAAUUUCUAUAAUAUACCAGCAGGAUCUAUCCUCCCCCCAACGCACACACGCAAAUUCUACCUGCCAAGGAAGACUUGCUGGUAAUUAAUAUUAUCUCUCUUCUUUUGCAGUUUGUAAUGGGACAAAUGGAUUCCUUGAAUGUGCCCUUUCUCCCAUGCAAUGUGGGCCCAGCCUCCCGCCUCACUCAGGAGAGGCAUCAGAGCUGACGGUCUUUGGAUGAAUGAGACCUUGCUAUUAAGAAUCAGACAAUUUAUGUGUUCAUUUAUCUUUACCAAGUUCUGUGCUAAAAUUAUCUAGGUGCUGCUCAUUUUAUAUUAUAGAAACCAUUUCUACAGGCUUUAACAAACUUAGAGUGUACCACUGAUUUGUUAAUCUUUACUGAACUUUCAAGUUAAUGGUAUUGUCAAGAUGACCCCUUGGAGUUCUCCAGUCACCAGAAACGUGUGCUGUCACCCCUUGUUCUACUCCUGGGACUGUGGGGCCUGUGGGACACGCAGAUAGGGAAAGUUGCCCUCCCUCUGCGUGGGUUUCACACCCUCCAGCUGCUGUGUUUUCGACCCACGUUUGAAAAAUAUCUGAAAGUGGACCCUUUCAAACCCCUGCUGUUCAAGAGUCAGCUGUAUUGUGUCAAUACAAUCUGAUGUGCUAAAUCCAUUGGCUGUGCUGGUAGUGCAAAGGAAAGCACCCCAGUUCUUUACUGUCAAAAACACAUGAAGCUGUUUUUGACAGAUGGCUCAGUCACUCCUCUACUUUUUGUGUAAAAUGAGGUAGUUGGUCUAGUUGAUGACCAAACUCUAAAACUACAUAAUACUAAGAUUAUUACCAAAAAAGUCUUAACCAGAUGCAGUGUUCCCUACAAAAAGCUGAAGGUAAUUCACUUGAAGUCAUCACGAUGAGUUCCAUCAUCUGUUUUCAGGAAUCAUUUAAUUCCUUCCUUUAGGACGUGAACAACAUUCUGCUCUCAAGGGUCCAGGACGCCAAAAAGAAAAGAGACAAAAUUAGCAACAAACUGUAUUCUAGGGUUACUGGAAAAAUUUCUAGAUUUGAUGUAGUUGGUUAUUUUUUUGAGAAAACUAAGUUGGAUCAUAAGAAGAAAACUGAGCAGAGGAAAAAAGUCUGUAUUUAAUCUACUCUGACAGUACUAUAUAUGGGUCAUAAGAUGGGUGAGUUAUUUUUUUUUCAAUCCAAUCCAUAAACAGGUUAAAGUUCUGAUGUUUUGACUGCAAUCUUUUUUUUCUUCACCCAGAAGGUACAUAUUUAAUUUUAGAUAAAUAUUAACUACCUUCAAAGACUUUUAAAAUAGGCAUAUACUAUAUGCUUUAAAAGGAAUUGUUAUAUUUGUUCAAUCAUUAUGUCAAUCAUUUCACAAUCUAAGUAAGUUCGUAUUGUAAAAAAAAAAUUACCUUUCAUAAAGGACAGCAUCUUGUGAUAUAAACAAAUAUUGCUUACUGUUUAAUUUUUACCAAUUCUGGUUUUUUUUUUUAACAAUCAAAAUGCUAUUAGUGUGCUGGGGAAGUACUAGAAAGUGUUUAAAGCAUUUAGGAAGACAAGCUUUCUAACAGGAUUAAUUUUCCUAUUAUAGAUGUAAUAAAUAUAGACUCUCAGAAGUGAUAAUGUAUGCAUGAUAUCUGCCUCUUAUUCUAGAUCAAUGAAGUUCAACAUUCUAUGUGAUGCUUCUCCCCUUUGAGGGAGGAAGGAGACUAUUCCAGAAACAUGGUCAUCUACCCCCUUCCCAUUCUUUGACACCACAUUUGCAUCUGCGAAUGCACACUGCUAUGCAUGUUCAGGAGAGAAAUUAGGUGAAAGUUUUAUUUGAAGGGUUGGGAUGAGAUAGCAUGACUGAUAAACAUUUUAAAAAAUUUAUUGUUUAAUGGUCAAGAUAAAGAGGAUUUUUUCAUGGGGAAAGGCUUAAAGGAAGUAUGGACUUUACCUUGUUCCUUCAAACUGGAUUUUAGUUAUAAAAUCUAAAAACACUGUGAUGCUUACUUGCCAUUUGUAGGCACCAAUCUGGCAUCUUUUGAUGGAAGCAGUGAGAAUAAAUUUGAAUGAACACACCCGUCAUCAACAUAUUAAAGAAAAGACCCUCUUAUUUGGUAUAAAGGCUACGUCAACAGUCAAACUCAUAUGCCAAGAAAAUAUAGUCAUAGAUGCCGAGUAACAACACCAGUAUAUGUACAUUCAAUCUGUUUGCUGCAGGAAAUCAAAUAUUCUGAUCAGAAGUGACACACACAAUGGUCUGGGGUCAUCGCAGAAACAUCCAAAGUGUCAUAAAGGCACCACCUACCAAAGUGGAUUUUUGUUUGAUUCUAGGAUACGCUAACCACUGGGACAGAGAUGCCUCCUGGAUAGAGGGAACUGUGCCUGCAAACUCCUGAGCAGGAGGCCCCAGAGCUUCUUGGAUCUGCUGGAAAGACUGGGCAGCAGGAAGGGGCUGAGAGGAACAGAUGGUAAGGCACCUCCCCUGAACUCCACUUUCUUUCAGGAAUGCAGCAUAGUGGAGUGCAAAGGAGGUGGGCACCAAAGCCACAGAAAGGGGCUCAAGCUGAUUCCCACCCACAUCUGUAUGAACUUGGGCGAGACAGCUUCUUUGAGCCCAGUUUCUUCAUGUCUAAAAUGGCAGGAGUACGUAGAACCUCGGAGGUUUUAUACACAUUAAGUAAGAUAAGAUAAAAUAUGUUAA